CGAGGAAUAUUGCACAAUGGGGGAAACCCUGUUGCAGCAACGCCGCGUGCGGGACGAAGGCCUUCGGUUCGUAAACCGCUUUUCUGGGGAAAGAGCAAGGACGGUACCUCAGGAAUAAGUCUCGGCUAACUACGUGCCAGCAGCCGCGGUAAAACGUAGGAGGCGAGCGUUAUCCGGAUUUACUGGGCGUAAAGCGCACGCAGGCGGCUCUGUGAGUCGGACGUGAGAGCUCCCGGCUUAACCGGGAGAGGCCGUUCGAUACUGCGGGGCUUGAGGUAGGGAGAGGAAUGCGGAAUUCCCGGUGUAGUGGUGGAAUGCGUAGAUAUCGGGAGGAACACCUGUGGCGAAAGCGGCAUUCUGGCCCUCACCUGACGCUGAGGUGCGAAAGCGUGGGUAGCAAACAG
Molecule: ribosomal RNA, 404 nt
Filed under: uncultured bacterium
Lineage: Bacteria
Description: bacterial SSU rRNA
Rfam family: Bacterial small subunit ribosomal RNA
Source: RNAcentral